CUUCGGCAGUGCGCCUACUCUCCAGGAAGCUAAAGAGGCCACUUCUGAACUCAAAGAAGCCAUUGAGAACUUGGUUUUCUUGCCCAAG
Ipomoea nil (Japanese morning glory) is the source of this 88-nucleotide long non-coding RNA. RefSeq lists it as uncharacterized. The record is from RefSeq and is a predicted model, not a curated record. Lineage: Eukaryota; Viridiplantae; Streptophyta; Magnoliopsida; Solanales; Convolvulaceae. The transcript is spliced from 3 exons.